This is an RNA transcript of Mauremys mutica (yellowpond turtle), 5819 nucleotides long. It is a transcript of the gene named PWWP domain containing 2A, with no coding region annotated. Lineage: Eukaryota; Metazoa; Chordata; Testudines; Geoemydidae. The transcript is spliced from 4 exons. The record is from RefSeq and is a predicted model, not a curated record.
GCCAAUGAGAAGUUUUCGUUCGGCUUGAUGGACUUUCCCACUCUCCAAUAGGAGCUUAGAAUCGUGCCGUAGCCUCCAAUGCGAUGUCAAUGAUGAGCGCAAUGGGCGGGCUCUGCCUCCCAGGCGGGCGGAGAAGGCCGCGGUUAUCGAUCCCGCUGCUGGAGGGAGGCGGCGGCGAAGCAGCAGAGAAAAUGGCGGCCAUGGCUGCGGAGGCGGCGGCGACUGCAGCGGUGCCGGGCGACGGGGGAGCCGGCGAAGCCGAGCCCGAGAUGGAGCCCACCCCGGGCAGCGAGGCCGGCGCAGACCCCCUCCCCGCUGUCAGCGAGGCCGUGGAGUCGGCCGUGCCCGAUGGGGACGAGGCCGACGGGGGAAAACCCGCUCCGGGGGAGGCCGAGGAGCCGCCGCCGCCCGUAGAGCUCGCCCGGAGCCCGGCUAGGACCCAGGAGCCGGAACCUGCGAGGACGGAGCCGGAGGAGCCGGAGGAACCGGAGCUGGGUUCGCCCCAGUCCGAGCCUAGAGAAGCGCCCAGCCCGGAGCCCGAGGAGGCGCCGCAGCCCUGCCCGCCGCCUGCUGGGCACCCUGAACUUCCCGAGGAGGAGCCGCAGCCCUGCCCGCCGGCUGCUGGGGGCCCCGUGGAGCCGGAGCCCGGGGAGGAGCCGUGCCGGCCGGAGGAGGAGGAGCCGGAUGCUGCUGAUGCUGCCGCUGUAAAGCCGGAGUCCCCGGCUGCCGGCUCCCCGGUGGCCCCGGCCGCGGGGGAGGCGGAGGCUCCGCUACUGCCUGGCUCGGAGGUGCGGGUCACCCUGGACCACAUCAUCGAGGACGCGCUGGUGGUGUCGUUCCGGCUGGGGGAGAAGCUCUUCUCCGGGGUCCUCAUGGACCUCUCCAAAAGGUUUGGACCCCAUGGAAUCCCUGUGACCAUAUUUCCUAAAAGGGAAUACAAGGAUAAACCUGAAGCCAUGCAGCUCCAAAGUAAACCAUUCCAAGAUGAGACACAGGUGAAGUGUGAAACCAGUGGUGCAGUCCCUGAUGACUCUUCUUCUCCCAUUCAGCCAUCAGAACCUAGCCUUGCUAAAAGCCUAUGGACUUCUAAACCACCUCCCCUCUUCCAUGAGGGAGCGCCAUAUCCUCCUCCUUUAUUUAUCAGGGACACGUAUAACCAAUCAAUACCUCAGCCUCCGCCCCGAAAAAUUAAGCGGCCCAAGCGGAAAAUGUACAGGGAGGAACCCACUUCUAUUAUGAAUGCUAUCAAAUUACGACCCAGGCAGGUCUUAUGUGACAAAUGUAAAAACAGUGUUGUUGCAGAAAAAAAAGAAAUUAAAAAAAGUGGCAAUGCAAGUGACUGCUUAAAAUAUGAGGAUCAUAAAAAGCGAAGAAAUGAGAGUGUAACUACUGUGAAUAAAAAACUUAAAACUGACCAUAAAGUAGAUGGAAAAAGCCAAAAUGAAAGCCAGAAAAGAAAUGCUGUGGUCAAAGUUUCAAAUAUUGCCCACAGUAGAAGCAAAGUAGUUAAAGUUUCUGCUCAAGCAAACACUUCGAAAGCUCAGUUAAAUACUAAAAAAGUUCUCCAGAGCAAAAACAUGGAUCAUGCAAAAGCUCGGGAAGUUUUGAAAAUGGCCAAAGAAAAGGCACAAAAGAAACAGAGUGCAACUUCCACUUCCAAAAAUGCACAUUCAAAGGUCCAUUUUACACGACGUCUUCAGAACACCAGCUCAGGUUCCCUUCCACCCCGAUUGCGUUUAAAACCACAAAGGUACCGGAAUGAAGAAAACGACUCAUCUCUCAAGACAGGACUUGAGAAAAUACGGAGUGGCAAGAUGGCAACUAAGCCCCAGUCUCGCUGCUCCUCCACCCGCUCAGCAGGUGAGGCCCCUUCAGAAAAUCAGAGCCCCUCAGAAGGCCCUGAAGAGGCCAGCGGUGAGGUUCAGGACACGAGUGAAGUGCAUGUAACUGUUGAUCAGGAUGAACACCAGACAUUGGGCAAGAGAGGCAGCAAAAGCAAUAUAACAGUUUACAUGACCCUUAAUCAAAAGAAAUCUGACUCUUCCAGUGCAUCAGUGUGUAGUAGUGAUAGCACAGACGAUUUGAAAUCCACCAACUCAGAGUGUAGUUCUACUGAAAGCUUUGAUUUUCCUCCAGGCAGCAUGCAUGCACCUUCCUCCUCUUCCUCCUCCUCCUCUUCAAAGGAAGAGAAAAAGCUCAGUAAUUCCUUGAAAAUGAAAGUCUUUUCCAAAAACGUCUCUAAAUGUGUCACACCAGAUGGCAGGACCAUAUGUGUAGGGGACAUUGUUUGGGCCAAGAUUUAUGGCUUCCCUUGGUGGCCAGCCCGUAUUCUUACUAUAACUGUGAGCCGGAAAGAUAAUGGCCUUUUAGUUCGACAGGAGGCCCGCAUUUCGUGGUUUGGGUCCCCAACAACAUCUUUUCUUGCUCUUUCACAACUGUCCCCCUUUUUAGAAAACUUUCAGUCGCGCUUUAAUAAGAAGAGAAAGGGCCUUUACCGCAAGGCCAUCACAGAGGCAGCUAAGGCUGCUAAGCAGCUGACUCCCGAAGUUCGGGCCCUGCUGACACAGUUUGAAACGUGAACGUGGAAAGUAAGAGCAGAUACCUAGUUUGUCAGGCAGCUCAAAAUGAACUGAUCCCACAUCAUAAAAGCCAUCUGAUGUUCUGAGCCAAAAAUCUGAGCUCAGAGACACUAGGCACCUGCUGUUUUUAUGGAACCUCACCACACUGCCACGAGGAACACCAGCUCAUCAGGAAUGACAAACCUUUGAGACUGAAUUGUCAUAUUUUUCCUCUGAAAUCUUAAACAGAGGGAAGAGAGGGCAGGGUGAAUGUGUUAAACAAACAAAACCACCCCCACUAAUCCUAUUGGGGCACCUGUAUCUAUUGUACAUUUCCUUUGAAAUUUAAAAAGAUGUUAGGAAAUAUUUUAUAAAACUUUUUUGCAAUAAAUGACGCAUGAGAUGGGGAGAGACUAUACGAAGUGUUCAUGCAAGGAACCACUUGAAUUAUUAGUAUGAAGAAUCACUGCGAAUAUUUUUUUUUAAUGUGACGGUCUAAUCAAUAUGUUUGACAGGCCCCAGUGAUGGAGCCAAUUGCCUGGAAAGAUGACUGUAACUUUUGAACUUUUGUUUUGAUUCUUAGCUUUAGCACUGCAUUUUCCAUUCUCCAAGGCUUAGUUAGUAUUUAGUAUGGGUGUUAGCAGAGCUAUAACCUGUGAUCUAAAGCAUGUCUGAAAGCAGCUGUAUUGUAAAAUAUGAACAGUCUUGCUAAAUGAGACCAAUGUUUCCAAGAGAGGUGAUGGGCAGGAUGACAACAGUAACUCCAUGUAUCUCUAAUUUAUGGGAAAAAUCUUCUCCCAUGAAAAUGGUGGUUCUAUUCUUAUGCUGAUGUAACACUUUGGGAAUUGAGGAUUGUUGGAAACGUAUCAAGAAGGGCUACAUCUCUGACAGCAUAGUCAUUUCGAUUUGCUUGUGAUGCUAUAGCAGUAUGGGAUUCAAGAAUGGAUACUGCUAAGAUAGGAUAGCAGUCGUUUGCCAGGUCAUUGUUUCCCCGACCCCCUCCCCCUUCCAGCCCAGAAUAGAGCUCGUGCAGGCAGCUAGUACAGCAAGAGUUUCCAUUAGUGGUUCUAAUGGUAGUUGAUUUAAUAGAAUCAUAGAAAUGUCGGGCUGGAGGGGACCUCGAGCGUCCAGCCCCCUGCUCGAUUUGCAUUGCCUCAACUUCUUUGGAUACCAUUAAAUCAAAAUUAGAAGGCCAAAUCUUUUAUUCUCUUUCUUCCUUUCUCCAAAAGAUGUUUAUUAAUAGUUAUUUCAGCUGAAGCUAGUGAAUGUUGACCAUACUGCUAGAAUAUUGGCUUGUUAAUUUAUUUGCCACUGAUUGUUUUAAUAUUGUGUGCACGUUUUCUUGACAAUAUGGUUUCCUGUGCUAUUCUUAAUGAUAGAAGGGGAUUCACUGGAUGCCUGACUUGGGAGAGUAAAUAUUUAUUUUGGAAAAUGAAAAUGUGCACAUAAUCUAAAGAUAUAAUAAAGUACAAGCUCCUCUUUCGAUGGAAAUGCAAAGGCUUGUACUAAACUCUUUUCCUAUUUACAAAUAUUCUGAUCUUAUCAGGGAAUGUAAAAUAUCUUUCUACAGGUUAUCUGCAAAGAGAGCACCUUUUCCAAAAGUCUCUGGUUUCCAAAGGCACAAAUAUGGUUUCAUAACCUGUGUGCAUGGAUCAUGAAUUAAGUAACCUUUGAUUUCAAAUCAUGGUGACCAUAGAUGUAUAUUUUUUCCUCGCUGCUUGGUAUUUGGUAACAAAUCCAUAUUUUUAGCAGAGCAGGGGAAACAAUAAUCCACACCCAGGAAAGAUAUAUUGGUGGUACAUAUAGUCAAAGGCAGUUCGAUAUUAGAUAGUUAGUAGUUACUUUAGUUUGAUUAGUGGUAACUUCAUAAUUUAUUUAUAAAACCAGAAACCGAAACCAUAGCACCUAUUUCUUUAAAAAACUAUUUUAGCUGCACAUUGCUGUUGUACAGUAGAUUCAAAUUGUGCUACUUUUCAUCAUAAACUGCAGAUCUUUUUUUUUUUUUAAUAGAGAAUAGUAAUUAUUGUUCUGCAGUACUCUUCCUUUCUAAUGUAGUCAAAGCAGAGGGUCAGCAGUCUGGUCCUGCUCCACUGCCCGAAAUAUGACCAAGAUUUAUCAUAAAUUAAAGCAUCUCACUCUUAGGUUAAAUCUGCACCAUGAGCUAGGUGUGUGAGGCCCAGUUUCUGUACACAUACAUGUGCUAAUUCUCAUGGAGCUAGCAUGAGUAUAAAUAGCAGUGUAGCCGCAGUAGCCUGGGUACCAGCAGCAGAGCCAUAGCUUAGUGGGGCCUAGAAUGUACCCGUCAGGCUCAAGCAGGUUUGUAUUCAGCAGAGCUAAGCCAUGCCACCACUGCAGCUACAUGUGCUACCGCAGCUACGCUACUGUUUACACUCACGGUAGCUUAGGGACACCUCAUGCAAGAAUGCGUAGGCAAGUUGGGAUCACACCCCUAGGUGGUAGUGUAGACGUAACCUUAGAGAGAGAGGGGGACAGGGUGCAGUGAGUUAAUGUGCUAGCCUUUUACCUCUGGAGACCAAACCCUGAUUGUAUUGCAAGUAGAUGGGGGGUCUCAUCCCCAGUGGGGGAGUCACUUUUAUCCACGUGAAAACAAAAAACAAAACCACACCAGACAACAUGGCACAAAACAGUUUCUGCUCAGGAAAAAGGCCCAGGACUGUAAUAGCAGGGUUAUUCCAUGCUGGGAUUGAAAUGAUUGACGUGUGUGGAAGCCAGUAGUGCCUGCCUAUAUGACAUCUGACUCUUAUGUGCUCUUACUGCCUCUCCUGCAAGAGCACUAGCACACAUCAGUUGGAGUAUACAGAACAUUAUAGUUGGAGAGAAAUGCAGGUCUCUGCAUUGGAGAAUAUGGGUAAAUUAAGCAAAUAGAAAGCUUAAAAAAUAGACAAGGUAGCAAACUGUAUUUGCUCAUAAAAAUGAGUUUAUUUUCAUGGGAAGUAGUGCAGCCAUUUUGUUUGAAACCAGAUUUUCAUUUUGAAGUGAAACUGUCAGGGAUAUUUUAAUGACUGAGAAGUACAGUAAUGUAUUGCUUUUCACUUUUUGGCUUUAGUUGCUUAAUAUUUAAGCUUUGCUCCAUGCUACCUUUUUGUCUGUAUAUUGAAUGGUCACUAUGCCUCCUUCAUUUUGUAGACUUGAAUGAGGGGGUGGAAAACGAUUCACUUUUAAGGUUUGCUCAAAGGUAGAUGUUAAAGAAUGUUGUGUAACAUUUAUUCAAAUAAAGCCUUGAUUUUUUUUUCAGCACUU